UUGAACGCUAGCGGCAUGCCUUACACAUGCAAGUCGAACGGCAGCACGGGGGCAACCCUGGUGGCGAGUGGCGAACGGGUGAGUAAUGCAUCGGAACGUGCCCAUCGGAUGGGGGAUAACUGCGCGAAAGCGUUGCUAAUACCGCAUACGACCUACGGGUGAAAGCAGGGGACCGCAAGGCCUUGCGUCGAUGGAGCGGCCGAUGCCGGAUUAGCUAGUUGGUGAGGUAAAGGCUCACCAAGGCGACGAUCCGUAGCUGGUCUGAGAGGACGACCAGCCACACUGGGACUGAGACACGGCCCAGACUCCUACGGGAGGCAGCAGUGGGGAAUCUUGGACAAUGGGGGAAACCCUGAUCCAGCCAUGCCGCGUGAGCGAAGAAGGCCUUCGGGUUGUAAACCACUUUUGGCGGGAAAGAAAUGGUCUGUGCUAAUACCACGGAUUGAUGACGGUACCGAGAGAGGAAGCCCCGGCUAACUACGUG
This 484-nucleotide ribosomal RNA is filed under the name uncultured bacterium. RNAcentral's name for it is "bacterial SSU rRNA". It matches the Rfam family "Bacterial small subunit ribosomal RNA", at positions 29 to 507 of the family's 1533-position model. The record is from RNAcentral.